Molecule: ribosomal RNA, 465 nt
Filed under: uncultured Klebsiella sp.
Lineage: Bacteria; Pseudomonadati; Pseudomonadota; Gammaproteobacteria; Enterobacterales; Enterobacteriaceae
Description: bacterial SSU rRNA
Rfam family: Bacterial small subunit ribosomal RNA
Source: RNAcentral
CCUACGGGGGGCAGCAGUGGGGAAUAUUGCACAAUGGGCGCAAGCCUGAUGCAGCCAUGCCGCGUGUGUGAAGAAGGCCUUCGGGUUGUAAAGCACUUUCAGCGGGGAGGAAGGCGGUGAGGUUAAUAACCUCAUCGAUUGACGUUACCCGCAGAAGAAGCACCGGCUAACUCCGUGCCAGCAGCCGCGGUAAUACGGAGGGUGCAAGCGUUAAUCGGAAUUACUGGGCGUAAAGCGCACGCAGGCGGUCUGUCAAGUCGGAUGUGAAAUCCCCGGGCUCAACCUGGGAAUUGCAUUCGAAACUGGCAGGCUAGAGUCUUGUAGAGGGGGGUAGAAUUCCAGGUGUAGCGGUGAAAUGCGUAGAGAUCUGGAGGAAUACCGGUGGCGAAGGCGGCCCCCUGGGCAAAGACUGACGCUCAGGUGCGAAAGCGUGGGGAGCAAACAGGAUUAGAUACCCCGGUAGUC